CAGUAGCCGCGGUAAUACAGAGGGUGCAAGCGUUAAUCGGAAUUACUGGGCGUAAAGCGCGCGUAGGUGGUUUGUUAAGUUGGAUGUGAAAUCCCCGGGCUCAACCUGGGAACUGCAUCCAAAACUGGCAAGCUAGAGUAUGGUAGAGGGUGGUGGAAUUUCCUGUGUAGCGGUGAAAUGCGUAGAUAUAGGAAGGAACACCAGUGGCGAAGGCGACCACCUGGACUGAUACUGACACUGAGGUGCGAAAGCGUGGGGAGCAAACAGGAUUAGAGACCCCCGUAGUCCCUGUCUCUUAUAC
Molecule: ribosomal RNA, 301 nt
Filed under: uncultured bacterium
Lineage: Bacteria
Description: partial 16S ribosomal RNA
Rfam family: Bacterial small subunit ribosomal RNA
Source: RNAcentral